This 2336-nucleotide ribosomal RNA is filed under the name biogas fermenter metagenome. RNAcentral describes it as "bacterial LSU rRNA". It matches the Rfam family "Bacterial large subunit ribosomal RNA", at positions 15 to 2306 of the family's 2925-position model. The record is from RNAcentral.
GAGCGUAGAGGUGAAUGCCUUGGCAUCAGGAGCCGAUGAAGGACGUGGUAAGCUGCGAUAAGCUGCGGUAAGUUGCAAACAAACAUUAUACCCGCAGAUUUCCGAAUGGGGAAACCCACAUGGAGUCAUGUCCAUGUAUCAUACACUGAAUACAUAGGUGUAUGAGGGGAACCGUCUGAACUGAAACAUCUAAGUAGGACGAGGAAAAGAAAUCAACCGAGAUUCCGCUAGUAGUGGCGAGCGAAAGCGGAAGAGGCUAAACCAUAGGCAGCAAUGUCUAUGGGGUUUUGGACUGCAUUUAGCAUUGAUGAAUUCUAGAAGAAACGCAUGGGAAGGCGUACCGAAGAGUGUGAUAGUCACGUAAUCAAAAGAUGAAAUCAGCGAGCAGUAUCCGGAGUACCGCGGGACACGUGAAACCCCGUGGGAAGAUGGGGGGACCAUCCUCCAAGCCUAAAUACUACCUGAUGACCGAUAGCGAAUAGUACUGUGAAGGAAAGGUGAAAAGAACCCCGGGAGGGGAGUGAAAAAGAACCUGAAACCCUAUGCUUACAAGCACUGAGAGCACGUCAAUGUGUGAUCAGGUACCUAUUGUAGAAUGGUCCGGCGAGUUAUGGUAUACAGCGAGGUUAAGCGAUUAAGUCGUGAAGCCGAAGCGAAAGCGAGUGUUAACUGCACGAAUAAGUUGUAUGCUAUAGACCCGAAACCGGGUGACCUAUCCAUGUCCAGGCUGAAGUCAAGGUAAAACUUGAUGGAGGGCCGAACCCACUCCCGUUGAAAUGGUAGGGGAUGAGGUGUGGAUAGCGGUGAAAUUCCAAUCGAACCCGGAUAUAGCUGGUUCUCCUCGAAAUAGCUUUAGGGCUAGCCUCGAGAAAAGAUUAUCGGAGGUAAAGCACUGAAUGAGCUAGGGGCCGAGAGGUUACCGAACUCUAUCAAACUAAGAAUGCCGAAUAAUCGUUGCUCGGGAGUCAGACAGUGUGAGAUAAGUUUCAUUGUCGAAAGGGAAAGAGCCCAGACCCACAGCUAAGGUCCCCAAGUACAUUUAAGUGGAAAAGGAUGUGGAAUUGCACAGACAACCAGGAUGUUGGCUUAGAAGCAGCCAUACAUUUAAAGAGUGCGUAAUAGCUCACUGGUCGAGUGAUUCUGCGCCGAAGAUUUAACGGGGCUAAAGUGUACACCGAAGCUUGGGCUUGACAGUAAUGUCAGGGGUAGGGGAGCGUCGUAUAUGGAGUGAAGUCGUAUCGUAAGGGACGGUGGACUGUAUACGAGUGAGAAUGCCGGAAUGAGUAGCGCGAAUUGUGUGAGAAUCACAAUGGCCGAAAACCUAAGGUUUCUGGAGGAAGGUUCGUCCGCUCCAGGUAAGCCGGGAGCUAAGGUCAGGCCGAAAGGCGUAGCCGAUGCACAUAUAGUUGAAAUUCUAUAGCCUCAGAAAGAUUUAAGCAGAGGGACACUUUUGGAUGGAUGUAGCCGGGCGAUGGUUGCCCCGGUCGUAAGCGAGCGAAAUAUAAGUAGUGAAGUACAUCUUGAAGAGAGGCGAGAAAAGCUUUGUGUAUAUCUUAUGAGCCCGUACCGCAAACCGACACAGGUAGGUAGGAUGAGGAUUCUAAGGCCAACGGGAGAAGGGUAGUUAAGGAACUCGGCAAAUUGACCCCGUAACUUCGGGAGAAGGGGAGCCGACGCUCAAUCAAGCUAUUAGCAUGAUUGCAGCAAAGAAAAGGAUAUAUUAAUAUAUUUUUUAAAAAAAGUGAUAAUAGGAGUUUAGUUCGACUUUUAAUAUCAAAGAAAAGCAAUCGUGCGAUGUUUUGAUUGAGCGUCGGCCGCAGUGAAACGGCCCAGGCGACUGUUUAUCAAAAACACAGCUAUAUGCUAAAUCGAAAGAUGAUGUAUAUGUGGUGACACCUGCCCAGUGCUGGAAGGUUAAGAGGAGAUGUGAGAGCAUUGAAUUGAAGCCCCAGUAAACGGCGGCCGUAACUAUAACGGUCCUAAGGUAGCGAAAUUCCUUGUCAGGUAAGUUCUGACCCGCACGAAUGGUGUAACGAUCUGGGCACUGUCUCAACAACCCGCCCGGCGAAAUUGUAGUACCGGUGAAGAUGCCGGUUACCCGCGACUAGACGGAAAGACCCCAUGGAGCUUUACUGUAGCUUAAUAUUGGAUUUUGGCAUUUCAUGUACAGGAUAGGUGGGAGACUAGGAAGCAUAGGCGUUAGCUUAUGUGGAGUCACCCUUGGGAUACCACUCUUGAAGUGCUGAAAUUCUAACCUGCAACCCUGAAUCGGGUUGGGGGACAUUGUUAGGUGGGCAGUUUGACUGGGGCGGUCGCCUCCUAAAAAGUAACGGAGG